CAAUACUGUGCCUGUAUCUAGUAAUCGAGUUUGAUUUCUCAGUGCCUCAUUCAAAGUGCAACUUGUGGCAAUUUUUGCCUUCUAACAAAAACUUGACUGUUGCAUAUGUGUGCUUGCUGCUCACUGGUGUUUAGCCUGUCACAGAAAGGUGUUAUUUUCUGAACUGAAGAGCUUAAAGGCUCUGUCAAGGUGAAGAGGUAAAUGUGAUCUGUACUGCGCCUUGAGGCAAGGUUUGUUAAUUAUUUUUCUCUUGGAAAUCAUGUUGACAGGCAGAUGACAUGUGCUCAACUCUCACCCUGAUAUGGAGUCUGGACACAGCCGAGUCGGGAUACAUCUGGGUCUGGGAGAUGGGAACCUUGAAGGUGACCAAAGUCAUCACAACAGAUAGAAAAUUGAUUUGAAGCCUCAGAGAGUUCCCUUCCAUGUGCCAACCUGACCCCAGCAAGGAGAGUGAGCUGUCAAGCCAUAAAAAUAAAGAUUGGUGUAAAGAAGAACAAAGAGAAAUCCAGGAAACGGAGACUCUCAGGUAAAUGUCAG
This is a long non-coding RNA of Myiozetetes cayanensis, 537 nucleotides long. RefSeq lists it as uncharacterized. NCBI's taxonomy places the organism in Eukaryota, Metazoa, Chordata, Aves, Passeriformes, Tyrannidae. The transcript has 4 exons. The record is from RefSeq and is a predicted model, not a curated record.